RNAcentral lists this ribosomal RNA (811 nucleotides) under uncultured bacterium. Its description in RNAcentral is "bacterial SSU rRNA". It matches the Rfam family "Bacterial small subunit ribosomal RNA", at positions 330 to 1141 of the family's 1533-position model. The record is from RNAcentral.
ACCAAACUCCUACGGGAGGCAGCAGUGAGGAAUAUUGGUCAAUGGGAGCGAUCCUGAACCAGCCAAGCCGCGUGAGGGAAGACGGCCCUACGGGUUGUAAACCUCUUUUGUCGGAGAACAAAACCGUGUACGUGUACAUGGCUGAGUGUAACAAAAGAAUAAGCAUCGGCUAACUCCGUGCCAACAGCCGCGGUAAUACGGAGGAUGCGAGCGUUAUCCGGAUUUAUUGGGUUUAAAGGGUGCGUAGGCGGGCUGUUAAGUCAGCGGUAAAAUAUCGGGGCUCAACCCCGUUUAGCCGUUGAAACUGGCGGUCUUGAGACGGUGAGAGGUACGCGGAAUGCGCGGUGUAGCGGUGAAAUGAAUAGAUGUCGCGCGGAACUCCGACGGCGGAGGCAGCGUACCGGUGCCGAUCUGACGCUGAGGCACGAAAGCGUGGGGAUCGAACAGGAUUAGAUACCCUGGUAGUCCACGCAGUAAACGAUGAAUGCUGGUUGUCCGGUCCGAAUGAGGACUGGGCGGCGAAGCGAAAGCGAUAAGCAUUCCACCUGGGGAGUACGCCGGCAACGGUGAAACUCAAAGGAAUUGACGGGGGCCCGCACAAGCGGAGGAACAUGUGGUUUAAUUCGAUGAUACGCGAGGAACCUUACCCGGGCUCAAACGGGACAGGACAGGUGCAGAGACGCAUCUUUCUUAGGACCUGUUCCGAGGUGCUGCAUGGUUGUCGUCAGCUCGUGCCGUGAGGUGUCGGCUUAAGUGCCAUAACGAGCGCAACCCCUGCCGGCAGUUGCUAACGGUCAAAGCCGAGGACUCU